UUUAUACAAAUUGAUGAAGUCGCAUCAUCAGAAUAGUUUAAUUUUCUUCUUGUCUUAAUCCUAAUCCUAAGGUUUAAUUAUUAUAAUAUUGAUAAAGUUAGAUAACACGUGUUGCAACUUGCAAUUAAAUGGAAGUGGGCAGAAAGAAAAGAUGACGAUUGUUUUGUUCACGAGAGUCUGGAGAAAACAUGUGACCACACAUACAUUUCUUUUUGACUACAUACAUUUUUAUUUUACGAGAAAUGUGACCACAUACAUUUUCUUUUGAGGCAAUGGCCACAUACACAUAGUGCUUUCAAAUUUGAAUAGUUUCAUUUACAAAUAGACCAAACAUCAUUUUGCUCCUUCACAUUUCUAUACCGCGCA
RNAcentral lists this long non-coding RNA (366 nucleotides) under Trifolium pratense (red clover). RNAcentral describes it as "long non-coding RNA (TPRA_LNC000465)". Lineage: Eukaryota; Viridiplantae; Streptophyta; Magnoliopsida; Fabales; Fabaceae. The record is from RNAcentral.